Molecule: ribosomal RNA, 465 nt
Filed under: uncultured bacterium
Lineage: Bacteria
Description: partial 16S ribosomal RNA
Rfam family: Bacterial small subunit ribosomal RNA
Source: RNAcentral
GACGAACGCUGGCGGCGUGCUUAACACAUGCAAGUCGAACGGAAAGGCCCCCUUGUGGGGUACUCGAGUGGCGAACGGGUGAGUAACACGUGAGUAACCUACCCUUGACUUUGGGAUAACUUCAGGAAACUGGGGCUAAUACCGGAUAGGAGCUCCUGCUGCAUGGUGGGGGUUGGAAAGUUUCGGCGGUUGGGGAUGAACUCGCGGCUUAUCAGCUUGUUGGUGGGGUAGUGGCUCACCAAGGCUUUGACGGGUAGCCGGCCUGAGAGGGUGACCGGCCACAUUGGGACUGAGAUACGGCCCAGACUCCUACGGGAGGCAGCAGUGGGGAAUAUUGCACAAUGGGCGGAAGCCUGAUGCAGCAACGCCGCGUGCGGGAUGACGGCCUUCGGGUUGUAAACCGCUUUCGCCUGUGACGAAGCGUGAGUGACGGUAAUGGGUAAAGAAGCACCGGCUAACUACGUG